CUCUAAAGACUAGUAUACCCAUUCCACGAUAGGUAAAAUUGAAAUUCAAUCGUAAGCUCGGCAUUACAAAACGCCUAACGCGAAUCUCUUUGUUCGCCACAAAAGAAUCUCACGAGUUCUACCAGAGAAAAGAGGAAAUGUUGAAUGGGACAUGGACGCAGGCAUUUGAAUAUCUACGUUUAACUAGGAUGACAAGGCCGUGCUCGUGUCGAUGACCGAUAACCUUACCGAUUUUCAAUCGAGAAUCGCGCGACAGGUGAAUACAAACGGGUUGCGCCUCUUCUGCGAAUAGUACACCGUAGAAAUAUGCAAUCGGAUAACGGAAGCAGGCGUACAGCAAGGUUGCUUUAAGUAUUCUACUUUAAUUACUACACUUCACACCACCGUGCACCAUAACGUGCGAUUGCUACUCUUGUUUAAUUGGGCUUGAUUCUACUGUGUUCUUCUUUAAUCUACGAUCCCCCGUGGCCGCGUGGAAUCGCGAACGCUAAAUUCACGGCUGCACAUCCGGUUCUCGUCGCGUUCUACGAGGAUUAUUUCCUCCUUGAAUUCCAGCAAAGAGUAGCAGUCGACUUCACAGAAUCAAUCUUCGAAAGACGCAAUAUUUUGUAAGUAUAAAGGAGCAACGCAAGCUUUCGUCGCGGAUAUUGAUUUCUAGAAACUGCAGUUGCAUUACGUUACGCGAUGUUGUACGGAAGCGAGCAACGUUACGUCGUAUUACAUUUAUUCAAUCAACUUCCUGCAAUUAAUUGAAAUGAACAAUUAAAACGGUUCGAUCCGACGCGUGUAAUGUUUUAAAAUAGUUGUUUACCAUCAUCGAAUAGGCAUUCACUCUGUAUCCUACGUUACGUAAGGUCAGUUACUAUCAAUCGAGGAAAGGGAGAGAUAGCCAAAAGCAAACGGAAAUGCUGGAAUUGAUCUGUAAACAGGAAACAUGGAAAAAGAUAUCUUUAUCGUUCGCGAUUUCUAUGACGAUCCAUGCCAUCAUCCAUUUACGGAGCACAAAACAACGAAGGUGUAGAGUGGCUUGAACGAGCUGGAUCGAAAGAACUUCCUGUUAACGAUGAAUCGUAAGGAAAAACACGCUGCAACAAACAUCCAUCGUAAUUCCACUAAUAAUAAAGCGUUGACGCGGUUCGUCGCUUAUGCCGAGCGCUGAUUAUGGCGCUAAGACUUCUCGGAAGAAAGGCGAUUGCAUUCGACUGGCGGCGAUGUAAAUAACACGCGGUGACGCACAAGAAAUUCCAUAGGAGUCGCUAUUUAUAGGAGAGUGAUAUUGCAGAUAUCCUGGACGCAGGUACGUUAGCGACCAGGUGGUAAUAGCGAAGGCCGAAAGGAAUUCCCUUUACCUUCGAUCAGACCGAUUAAAUAUGCACCGGUUGCUCGUCCUGAAUACCUCGGACGCCAACUGAACCGACUUCCAGGAAAAUAGAGAUUGUUUUCGAAAAUAUUCUCAAGGAAAUUUUCAAUUUCCUUUUUAUUUAUCGAAGAACACUUCUGAGUUCAAAUAUUUUUCAAAUUUAACGAUUCGACGAAUACUGAUACUAAAAUCGGCAGAGGUGAACCAGAACUGAAAUUUUAAUUAAUUAAGCCACUAAUUAACGAAUCAUGCUGGUCAUCGAUCGCCUCUAGGCAAUCGAUUCGUCAAUAAUCGAGGGAGACUAGAUUUUUCAAUAUCGCAAACAACAAAUAAUGUAUUUAAAAAAAAGCAAGACGAUUAUGAAACAUUUUCUAGAUAUCUCCUCGAGCGACUUACGCUCGUUCAUAAGCGACGACAACGUUUUGCAUGCAAUGGCGUGUUUACGCCGGGCAACAACAAUGUUACGGGCAAAUCCUAAUUACGUAACUGUGUCACGUAACUGUUUUGCCUUGCUCGACAACCAACGAACGAAUACUUUCGUGGAGACGUCAAACGCUUUCUUCCUUUCCGCGCUCGAAUACAACUCGUGGAAGGCGAACGAAGCGAAUUCGCGGCUCGUGGUUUACACUGCUUGUAGCUUGCAAAUGCACGGAACGAUCCAUCUUCCGUUUCGUUUAAUUAGGCUUGAUAAUCGAACGAGAUUACGAGAUGUCGUGAUAGUGGUAGGCUACGUUCUAAUGUCCCUAAUGUCCAUAGCGCUGUAUAAUUAUCCAUGCUUAUUAAACGGUUAUGUAAAAUACGAAUUUACCGCCGUGGCGGCGCCAAACGCGCGGCGACGUUAGGUAAGCUGUAAUCACUGAAAAACUUCGAUGAGAACGCAUCGUUUUUCCCGUGUAUACGCUUAUUACGACAAAUUGCGUUCGGGGAAACACGCGAACGAUAGGGGAAAUCGUCUGGACGGUGAUUUUCAACUUGUUCUCCGGCGACGUUUAUGCGGGAGAAGGAGAAGACAAAAAGUGGGGGGCAUCGUCAUUUUUCCUAAGGAAGUCUACCAUGCUCGGUACUGUACCUACAGUGGCUCGGAAAACUAUUCGGACACUCUUCAAAACAGAAUACCUUAUUUAAAA
Molecule: long non-coding RNA, 2487 nt
Organism: Osmia bicornis bicornis
Lineage: Eukaryota; Metazoa; Arthropoda; Insecta; Hymenoptera; Megachilidae
Exons: 3
Source: RefSeq, a predicted model, not a curated record